GUGAGGAAUUUUCCGCAAUGGGCGAAAGCCUGACGGAGCAAUGCCGCGUGAAGGAUGAAGGCCUAUGGGUUGUAAACUUCUUUUCUCAGAAAAGAAUUAUGACGGUAUCUGAGGAAUAAGCAUCGGCUAACUCUGUGCCAGCAGCCGCGGUAAGACAGAGGAUGCAAGCGUUAUCCGGACUGAUUGGGCGUAAAGCGUCUGUAGGUUGUUUAAAAAGUAUUCUGUCAAAGAUUAGGGCUUAACCCUAGAUAGGCAGAAUAAACUUGUAAGGUAGAGUUUGGUAGAGGCAGAGGGAAUUCCCGGUGGAGCGGUGAAAUGCGUAGAUAUCGGGAGGAACACCAAAGGCGAAGGCACUCUGCUGGGCCAAUACUAACACUGAGAGACGAAAGCGAGGGGAGCAAAUGGGAUUAGAUACCCUUGUAGUCC
This 426-nucleotide ribosomal RNA is filed under the name uncultured bacterium. RNAcentral describes it as "partial 16S ribosomal RNA". It matches the Rfam family "Bacterial small subunit ribosomal RNA", at positions 354 to 796 of the family's 1533-position model. The record is from RNAcentral.